RNAcentral lists this long non-coding RNA (1331 nucleotides) under Gallus gallus (chicken). Its description in RNAcentral is "long non-coding RNA NONGGAT006491". The record is from RNAcentral. Lineage: Eukaryota; Metazoa; Chordata; Aves; Galliformes; Phasianidae.
CCGGGCCCGAGGGUGGUGAGGGGCGAGGGUGUGGGAAAGAGGCGGCGAUGGGCGCGCCCGCGCGGGCUGCCUGGACGUGUCCGUAGCCCCGAAGGCCCCGGGGGCAGCCCGGUGCCUUUUUUACAGCAAACCAGUCGCUGUUAAAAAACGGCUUGGCCGCUCUCCAGGAGCGAGGGCGGAGGUAUGCGGUGAGCACAGGCGGGAGCCCGCAGCGGUGCUGGGGGACGGUGCUGCACCGGGGCAGGUGGGCCCCGUGCCUCAAACACUGCCGGCCUCCGCGGGGCAGCGCUCUUCAAACCCAGCAGUCGUUUCUUCUAAUAAAUAAUGCACACGCGUCUCUAUAUACAGGUAUGUACGUAGGAAUAACCCGAAUCUGGCCCAACCCUUCGCAUUUAUUCCUUUAGAAGUUUGAGGGAGAUGGAGUUGUUACUGUGUGACCGCUAUGAGGGAGGUUGUGGUGAAGUGGCCUCUUCUCCCAGUAACAGCUACAGGACGUCAGGCCUGAGCUGUUCAUUACCAUCACACCAAGCAUGACUGUAAAUGACCUUCUGUACCCUUGAUUGUAACUUCUGAGUACAGUAAACACCGCCUGGACAUCGCCUCUGCAAAAAUCUCCCCUUUCUUCCCCUGGGGCUCUUGUCAGCUCCAGGAUGACAGGAAGCAUCUGCAUCAGCUCCCAGCAACACUUCAGUGGUGCUUGCAGACAAAUUCGUAUUUCCCAAAGAUGGGAAGAAGAUUCCCAGAAGAAGGAGGUCAACUGCCUCAGACAGAAGGGCCAUGGAAGAGCCCCUUGGACACUCCCCUUGGCGGACAAUAUGCUGAUGCACGUUAGUGACUUGAUAGCGAGCUCUUGCUUUGUGGGGGCUGCUGAAGGAUGUCCUUGGUGCUUCUGUGCAGUUACGGGCUCACUGAGUCUCUUCACCAGCAUGCCACUGUGGGUUUGGCUGCAAGGCUUUCAAAGCCUGAGUGCAGCGAGCAGUGCCCGGGUGGCGUUUCUGAUGGCAUCCAUGAUGUGUCUUCUGGUAGAGGAAUGAAUAGAGCUGCUAACCACUGACCCUUGCAAACCUGCCAGAGGGAAAAAAAACAAUAAAGGAAAGUAGGCAGCAGAGCAGGGCCACACUAUUUCUAGCAACUGAGAGCUCUGAUCAGGAGAUGGACAGGUGAGGAUUUCAUUGCACUGGGGGGCAGGCUGCAGUGUCUUCCAGGCCCGAGCGGUCUGCCUGCUGUGGGGCUGCACGCCAGCAUACCCAAUAGUGUGCUAACUGUUGCUGUUUAAUCUCCAGCAUCUUGUUUGACGCCUCGGUGUAAUAAUGAUGGAAAUAAUAAAUGGC